RNAcentral lists this long non-coding RNA (373 nucleotides) under Nicotiana benthamiana. Its description in RNAcentral is "long non-coding RNA (NBEN_LNC018789)". The record is from RNAcentral. Lineage: Eukaryota; Viridiplantae; Streptophyta; Magnoliopsida; Solanales; Solanaceae.
AUAAACGGACCUUUGAUGUUUAAUUCGACCAAACAAUAGCCACCAAAAAUGAAAACCUUGAACCAGACUAGAAAACUCACCGGAGCCGCGACAAAACUCCACACCGGACCUCGUCGACACCUCGGAUUUGCUCGAUUUCUUUUGGAGAUGUGACUGUGAGCUGCGUCUCUGGCAAGUUUGGGGUUGAAACGCCGGCGGCUGAAGCUGGUCUCAUUAGGUGAAGAAGGUCAAGGUCAUUUUCUGUUAAGUUUUAGAAGAAAAAGCUUCAUUUUCCAAAAAUGGGAAAACGGUUAUAUCAACUUUUUUAGGCUCUUUUUUCCUUUGUCUUUUGCUGAUCAGUAGCCUUUUUAGUCUUAGCUCUAGGUUUGUUUUU